RNAcentral lists this ribosomal RNA (942 nucleotides) under Auriporia aurea. RNAcentral describes it as "LSU rRNA". It matches the Rfam family "Eukaryotic large subunit ribosomal RNA", at positions 35 to 963 of the family's 3401-position model. Lineage: Eukaryota; Fungi; Basidiomycota; Agaricomycetes; Polyporales; Auriporiaceae. The record is from RNAcentral.
UAAGCAUAUCAAUAAGCGGAGGAAAAGAAACUAACAAGGAUUCCCCUAGUAACUGCGAGUGAAGCGGGAAAAGCUCAAAUUUAAAAUCUGGCGGUCUUUGAUCGUCCGAGUUGUAGUCUGGAGAAGUGCUUUCCGCGCUGGACCGUGUACAAGUCUCUUGGAACAGAGCGUCAUAGAGGGUGAGAAUCCCGUCUUUGACACGGACUACCAGUGCUUUGUGAUGCGCUCUCAAAGAGUCGAGUUGUUUGGGAAUGCAGCUCAAAAUGGGUGGUGAAUUCCAUCUAAAGCUAAAUAUAGGCGAGAGACCGAUAGCGAACAAGUACCGUGAGGGAAAGAUGAAAAGCACUUUGGAAAGAGAGUUAAACAGUACGUGAAAUUGCUGAAAGGGAAACGCUUGAAGUCAGUCGCGUCGUCCGGAAAUCAGCCUUGCUUUUGCUUGGUGUACUUUCCGGUUGACGGGCCAGCAUCGAUUUUGACUGCCGGAAAAAGAUUGGGGGAAUGUGGCACCUUCGGGUGUGUUAUAGCCUCCAGUCACAUACGGUGGUUGGGAUCGAGGAAUGCAGCACACCUUUAUGGUCGGGGUUCGCCCACGUUUGUGCUUAGGAUGCUGGCGUAAUGGCUUUAAACGACCCGUCUUGAAACACGGACCAAGGAGUCUAACAUGCCCGCGAGUGUUUGGGUGGAAAACCCGAGCGCGUAAUGAAAGUGAAAGUUGAGACCCCUGUCGCGGGGGGCAUCGACGCCCGGACCAGACCUUUUGUGACGGAUCCGCGGUGGAGCGUGUAUGUUGGGACCCGAAAGAUGGUGAACUAUGCCUGAAUAGGGUGAAGCCAGAGGAAACUCUGGUGGAGGCUCGUAGCGAUUCUGACGUGCAAAUCGAUCGUCAAAUUUGGGUAUAGGGGCGAAAGACUAAUCGAACCAUCUAGUAGCUGGUUCCUGCCG